UUAUUAAAUUAACUUUAUACUCUGACGUAAAGAUGCAGUGUUUGAUGACCUCCGGGGGGAAUGCCGCGAACGGCAGGGUCGCCCCCGAAGCAACAUGAUGCGUUCACAAAGGGUUGGAGGUCGGGAUUGCUCCCUCACUCAGUAAUGAUCCCUCCGCAGGUUCACCUACGGAGA
RNAcentral lists this unclassified non-coding RNA (174 nucleotides) under uncultured fungus. RNAcentral describes it as "sequence contains ITS1". The record is from RNAcentral. Lineage: Eukaryota; Fungi.